AUGGAAUUCUGGACAGAAAUCUGGGACUCUGAGCAGGAAUUGCCCCCGUGCCCCAGUGCCAUCCCCAGUGCCAGUGCAAUUCCUAUUCCCAGUGCCAUUGCUAUUCCCACCACCAGUGCCAUUGCUAUUCCCAGUGCCAUUCCUCUUCCCGGUGCCAUUACUAUUCCCACCAAUUCCCGGUGCCAUUGCUAUUCCCACCACAUUCCCGGUGCCAUCCCCAGUGCCAGUGCCAUGCCCGUCACCAGUGCCAUUCCCACCACCAGUGCCAUUCCUAUUCCCAUUUCCAUUGCAAUUCCCAAUGCCAUUCCCAGUGCCAUCACCAGUGCCAUUGCAAUUCCCAGUGCCAUUCCCAUUGCCAAUGUCAUUGCUAUUCCCACCCCACUGCCAUUCCCAUUGCCAUCCCCAAUGCCAUUGCCAUUCCCAUUGCAAUUCCCACUGCCAUUCCCAUUGCCAUUCCACUGCCAUUGCCAUUGCCAUUGCCAUUCCCAUUCCCAUUGCCAUUCCAUUCCCAUUGCCAUUCCCAUUGCCAUUCCCAUUGCCAUUGCCAUUGCCAUGGCCAUUCCUAUUAAUAUUGCCAUUGCCAUUCCCACCCCAUUGCCAUUGCCAUUCCUGUUCCCAUUCCCAUUCCCAUCCCCAUUCCUGUUCCCACUGCCAUUGCCAUUGCUAUUCCUGUUCCUAUUCCUGUCCCUGUUCCUGUCCCUAUUCCCACCCCCAUUCCCAUUCCCAUUCCCAUCCCCAUUCCUGUUCCCAUGGCCAUUCCCAUUGCCAUUCCUGUUCCCAUUCCCAUCCCCAUUCCUGUUCCCACUGCCAUUGCCAUUGCUAUUCCUGUUCCUAUUCCUGUCCCUGUUCCUGUCCCUAUUCCCACCCCCAUUCCCAUUCCCAUUCCCAUCCCCAUUCCUGUUCCCACUGCCAUUCCCAUUGCCAAUCCUGUUCCUAUUCCCAUUCCCAUUCCCAUUCCCAUCCCCAUUCCUGUUCCCAUUCCCAUUGUCAUUCCUGUUCCUAUUCCCAUUCCCAUCCCCAUUCCUGCUCCCACUGCCAUUCCUGUUGCCAUUCCCAUCCCCAUUCCUAUUCCCAUCCCCAUUCCUGCUCCCACUGCCAUUCCCGUUGCCCCCCAGCCCCGCAGUGUCCCAGCCAGGCCCUGGCUGCUGCUGCUCCCGCCAUUCCCAUUGCCAUUCCUGUCCCUGUUCCUGUCCCUAUUCCCAUCCCCAUUCCUGUUCCCACUGCCAUUCCUGUUGCCAUUCCCAUCCCCAUUCCUAUUCCCAUCCCCAUUCCUGCUCCCACUGCCAUUCCCGUUGCCCCCCAGCCCCGCAGUGUCCCAGCCAGGCCCUGGCUGCUGCUGCUCCCAUCCCAGUCCCAGAGGGAGCCAGAGCUGGGAGAUCCCCUCUGAGUGCCGGCACUUCCCAAAUUCCUUCUCAGGCCUUUGGGAUGCUCAUUGCUCAUCCCCUCGCCCAGCGCCUCCCCCUCAAUUCCCUCUCAAACCAAGCACAAACUGUUUUGCCUCAAACCGCACCUCAAUUCCCUCUUAAACCAAGCACAAACUGCUUUGCCUCAAACCACCAAAAGCAGACUUUUCAGGAAUGUUGCAGCAAGCACAGGAGGGAGAGACAAUUCCAAAUCCCCCAGAGUCCAGCAAAAACUCAGAUAAAAGUCCAGGAAAAACUCAGAUAAAAUCGAUACAAAAUCGAUAUAAAAUCCAAUUGCAGCAGAUUUUUCACACCUUAAGAGAAAAUUGAAACCAAUCCCUCAUGCCAAGCCCAGAAAAGGAGGAUGAGGGUGAAGCAGCCCUGGAUUUGAUUUCCAACAUCCCCCACCCCAAGGAGGGAGGAAAUUGCAUGUUCUUACUUUGUAUUCGGGAAUUGACAAAGGGAGGAGAGAGAUUGUCGUGAGAGCCGAGGUCUCUGCUGGCCACGUGCUCAUAGUGAGUCCCAUCUGCAUAGUUCUGGCGAGAAAUUGGGGAAAAGACACAGCUUUACACCCUGCAACAGCACAGCUGCACAGCCCCCACUGCGUCUCAGGCCUCAAGAGGAAACAUCAUUUCAACAGCAAACAGCAUUCCCAGGGGGUUGCAUUUUUCUUCCAAGUAAAAAUCUAGAACUCCUUACUCAGUUUGUACCCUCAAUAGGAAACAUCAUUCCCAGGGAUUUCAGAUUUUUUUUUCCAAGUAAAAAUCCAGAACUCCCCACUCAACUUGAAGCCUCAAUACGAAACAUCAUUUUCAAUAGGAAACCUCAUUCCCAUAGGAUUUCAUUUUUUUUGUUCCUUUUUUUAGUGAUGUGUCCCUUCCCAACAGGAGAAC
This 2296-nucleotide long non-coding RNA is filed under the name Ficedula albicollis (Collared flycatcher). Its description in RNAcentral is "lncRNA (ENSFALG00000024678.1)". Lineage: Eukaryota; Metazoa; Chordata; Aves; Passeriformes; Muscicapidae. The record is from RNAcentral.